RNAcentral lists this long non-coding RNA (1038 nucleotides) under Anser cygnoides (Swan goose). RNAcentral's name for it is "lncRNA (ENSACDG00005011837.1)". Lineage: Eukaryota; Metazoa; Chordata; Aves; Anseriformes; Anatidae. The record is from RNAcentral.
GUCCGGGCCCCUCACUCCCCCUGCCCCAAGCGCUUCACGGCGGGGUUGGGGUACUCGGGGUUCUCGACGGCCCCCGGGCCGAACUUGAGCUCGAGGAAGGCGCGGGCGUUGUUGGGCGCCAUGGCGGUGAAGCCGGCGAAGGGCAGCGGCACCAGCGGGCGCAGGAAGCGCUCGGGGAACUCCACGUCCUGCGGGUGCCCCAGCCACGUGUCCUUGGUCAUCACCCCGGCGCGGGCGUAGAAGGGCCACAGGUCGACGUGCAGCCGGUUGGCGCGGCUGUAGUGCACGCGGAAGAAGUCCCCCUCGGCCGCCUUCUCCCAGACGAAGCCCUCGGCGUCCUCCACCGCGCCGCCUCCCGCCGCCGCCGCCUCCCGCAGCCACCGGCACUUGCCGGCGUCCUCCCGGUAGAUGCCCAGGUCCACGUCGUAGUCCCAGGGGAUGAUGUCCCGCAGGCGCACGGCGCCCAGCAGCGAGCCCCCCUCCAACCAGUACCGCACGCCGGCGGCCUCCAGCGCCCCGGCCACGUGCCGGGCGGUCUCGCGCAGCGCCCGCAGGCAGCACGGCGGGGUCCAGCGCCCCGCCAGGAGGUACUGGGGCGUGCGGGCGUGCACGGUGCCGAAGCAGCGCGCCGUCUCCUUGCCGCAGCCGUACCAGCGCUCCCGCCCGUCCGCCAGCACCUCCCGCUUGAUGCCCAGCUCGCGCAGCAGCCGCCGCCGCCGGGCCCCCGCCAAGCUCUCGGCUUUCCACCGGUUGUGGGGGUUAGCCGGGGGGGCCGGGGCGGCGGGGAAAGCUUCGGGGAGCACCCGCACCCCCCAGCCCCGCAGGCCGCCCCCCCGGCCCCCCCGGGGCCGUAGCGCGCCGUCCACUCGCGCAGCUCCACGCGCAAGCCCAGGCACCGCAGCGGCUCCGUCCCAACGGGCGCCGCCACCACCCGGGCGUCCCCCCCGGCCUCCAGCGCCGCCCGCAUGCGGUCCAGCAGCCCCGGUCGGGCUCGGGCGCCGUCGGGGACCAGCGCCACGUGGCGGGUGCGGACGUGGA